UCGCGCACGUGGACGAGCUCGGAUGCGUCGACGCUCUUGUCGGGAUCGGCACUGGUGAGACGGUUGGUCCAAUCAACCAUGCGCGGGCCA
This 90-nucleotide transfer RNA is filed under the name uncultured Actinomycetes bacterium. RNAcentral describes it as "uncultured actinobacterium tRNA-Asp". RNAcentral also lists the same sequence under 1 other name. Lineage: Bacteria; Bacillati; Actinomycetota; Actinomycetes. The record is from RNAcentral.